Molecule: non-coding RNA, 73 nt
Submitted as: unclassified sequences
Source: Rfam
ACUAUGGAGUGUACUUGAACUUGUGAGUAGAUAUGAUCUCAGUCAGUCGAAAGCAUACACAAUAAAAUAGUAA